This is an RNA transcript of Sipha flava (yellow sugarcane aphid), 2691 nucleotides long. RefSeq lists it as uncharacterized. Lineage: Eukaryota; Metazoa; Arthropoda; Insecta; Hemiptera; Aphididae. The record is from RefSeq and is a predicted model, not a curated record. The transcript is spliced from 3 exons.
AUAUUCAUCGUGUUGCCAUUCCAACGUAAUUGAUAAGACGAACUUGUAGCUUUGCAUCGAACACGUAGUCCGUGCUUCACCCGUUGCGGCCGAACCGUAGAUUGCUCGCGUGUUUUAUACUUUGUUAGUUACUAUUGUUCAGUGUUCAUUGUUUUAAUGUAUUUCUUGAUAAAGUUAUAAACAUUCGUGUACAUCUAUCCGAUCCUCUGACGCUUCAACCAGCGGCCAACAGCGAGACCUUCGUUAUUAAAUAAUCGUACGGGCCUAGCCACUCCAGGUCCAGGCUCGCUACAAGUGUUGAAUCCAGUAAAUCAACUCUUAAGUCUAUUAAGGUACCGUCUUAUCAGGAGCUAUGUGGGCAGUUAGUAAUUUUUUAUUAGUGUCAGAAAGAUCAACAGAAAAACAUAAACAAGAAUUUAAAGGAAUUACUUCAAAACUUAGAGCACAGCAUGGGUUGGUUGAAGACGUGUGAUUCAACUGCCAGUUGAUAAUAUUAAUUUUUUGGAUGGCAAUGCCACAGAUGAAACAUUUGAGUAUUCCCAUUAUGUUGAACAUAAAAAAAUCUGCCUUUUUUAUGAUUUCAGACAAAUAUUUGAAAGUGUUGAACUUUGUUUGAUCAGAAUAACCUCGAGGUGAACAGUAUGUACAGCAAAAAAUAUUUGUUGCAUAUCCUUUUGGAGAAUGUACCUUGCAUACCAUUAUGGGAAAAAGUUAUUUUAUACUUAGUAAAUUUGAUCGUCAGAGUAAAGCUCCAAUUUAAAGCUGUUUUAAUUUGGUAAGAAAAAAAUGAAGUGUAGGGAUUUGUUGAAAUGAUAAACUAUGUAUAAAGGUAAUUGUUUUAGGCAAUUGAAAAUAAAAAUACCAAGGUGGAAGUGUGCAAUUGGUAACAAAUAUGGUGAUGAAGAUAAUUUGCUUUCGAACACUCCAGAAAUUUGGAGAAAGAACGGUAAAUGUCCUGCGUUCUUGAGAAACAACAAUAGGGUCUUGUAUGCUAACAAUAGUAAACCUGUUCAAAAUAAUAGACAAUAAGAAAAUGAUAAUAUUGCUAUUGAAGAGGAAACAAAAGAGAUGACAGACCCACAAACAACUAUUAGUUGUCGUGAAAAAACAAUCCUAGAUUCAGAGCAACAAAUAUUAGAUACCAAUGAUGAUCAUGCUAAAUAUGAGAAAUCUUGACCAGGUAACAAUAAAGAAAAAGCAUGUUGAAAAAAUUCAAAACUAAACUGAAGGUGUUGAUGAAACUAUGUCUUCAGUGGUAGUUGAAUGUUGUCCAGAAAAUGAGGAUUUAAGUAAUAAUUUAUAUCAACAUUCAUGGUCGUGUGGUGGUUUGGGAACAGUAAAAUAUAAAGUCACCUACAGGAAAAUAUAAUUUAUAUCGCACUAGUAAACUAGUGAAAGAUGCAAAUUAUUACAUGCGAUCUUAUCUCGGAGUUGAUGACUAUGUAGUAUCAAAAAUUUCUUUUGAUAAUGAUGAGGUGUAGAUAACUUAUUUGGACUUUAAACAGUUAAAUACUGAAGGUGAUAGCUGUUCUCUUUGAUUGUUAUGGGCUACCAUAUAUUUAUUGAAACCGUGUGCAAUUAUGUAACUAGUUCUAAUCACAGAACCACAACUAGAACUACAACCAACUUAAUGCACUUAGUAUCAGAAUUUUGUUAACACUUUGAUUUAUAAAAUAAAUAUAUUAAAAGUAUUAAAAGUUAAAGUCUCACGUCUAAUUAAUAACACAUAUUUGACUGCUCAAGUUGAAAUCAAGCUGGUGGCAUGGAACAUUUGUUAUAAAAUACUAAAAUAUGGUGUAUAUUACAAAUAUAUUUUUAGAAAAAAAUGAAUAUAUUUGGAUAACUAAAAAAAAAACAACAAAUAAAGUGUCUGAUUACAGAUAUUAUUUGUUAAAUGUUGGAAAAAAUUUUGAGAACUCUACCAACGGAAGACUUGAAUGGUUUAAUUUGUCUAGACUUAUAGUACAGUCACUGGAAAAUAGUAUUUGGACUUGAUUGUAUGUCAAUUUUAUUGAAAAGACUGUCAGUUAUUUAAACUCUACUGAAUGUGUGUUCUGGAUAUGUUGAAGAGUAUAUCCAAGAAGUGGAAUCCAAUGCAAGUAAUUAGCAAUGUCGAUAAAUGGAUGGAUCUAUAUGUCAAUAUACCAUAUCAAAAUUAUGGAUAUAUCUGUGGUGUAUUCAUAUUAUAAUUUUCAAAUUAAUUAAUGAGCUGUAAAAGUAAUUGAUGAUUCCAAUUCCAAUGUUUACCGCAAAGACUUGGAGAACAUGAUAUUCACAAGGUUUAUGUGAAUUAAAAACAAUUAUUUGAUUUGUGAAAAAGAUGAAGGAAAUUUGAAAGGAAAUUAUCAAGGUGUUGCUGAAGAAUAUAGCUCAACGGUUCAAUAUGAUUCUUGUACAAGGUGGCUGCAUAUAUCAUGUUUGCCCGAUGCAAACAAGAAAAAAGUAGAAAAUGAUAAUUGGUUAGCUAUGGACUAUGAUUAAUUUAAUAUUCAAAAAAUCCAUUGUUAUGAAAUAUGAUAUCCAAGGAAAAUUCUCCACUUGAUUAAUAAGGAACAAUACCUAUGUGUUUACACUAGAGAACUGCUAUACAAUAAUUCGAAUUAUUAUAUUAAAUAUCAACUCUGAUAUCAUAUACGUGUAUCAAGGAUUUUAUUUAAUGUUGGGUGCAAAUUUUGAAGAAAAUAUAAUUAC